This 253-nucleotide ribosomal RNA is filed under the name uncultured bacterium. Its description in RNAcentral is "partial 16S ribosomal RNA". It matches the Rfam family "Bacterial small subunit ribosomal RNA", at positions 524 to 776 of the family's 1533-position model. The record is from RNAcentral.
GACGGACCGUACGAACGUUAUUCGGAAUUAUUGGGCGUAAAGAGCGUGUAGGCGGUCAGGUAGGUCGGUUGUGAAAACUGGAGGCUCAACCUUCAGAGGUCGACCGAAACCCCCUGGCUAGAGUCCGGGAGAGGAGAGUGGAAUUCCUGGUGUAGCGGUGAAAUGCGCAGAUAUCAGGAAGAACACCCGUGGCGAAAGCGGCUCUCUGGAACGGUACUGACGCUGAGACGCGAAAGCGUGGGGAGCGAACAGG